Molecule: ribosomal RNA, 638 nt
Filed under: uncultured archaeon
Lineage: Archaea
Description: bacterial SSU rRNA
Rfam family: Archaeal small subunit ribosomal RNA
Source: RNAcentral
AGGUACGGGCUUUGAGAGGAGUUAGCCCGGAGAUGGGUACUGAGACACGGACCCAGGCCCUAUGGGGCGCAGCAGGCGAGAAAACUUUGCAAUGUGCGAAAGCACGACAAGGUUAAUCCGAGUGGUUUAUGCUAAAGAAACCUUUUGUUAGUCCUAGAAACACUAUUGAAUAAGGGGUGGGCAAGUUCUGGUGUCAGCCGCCGCGGUAAAACCAGCACCUCAAGUGGUCAGGAUGAUUAUUGGGCCUAAAGCAUCCGUAGCUCGUUUUGUAAGUUUUCGGUUAAAUCCAUGCGUUUAACGUAUGGGCUGCCGGGAAUAUUGCAUAACUAGGAAGUGGGAGAGGUAGACGGUACUCGGUAGGAAGGGGUAAAAUCCUUUGAUCUAUUGAUGACCACCUGUGGCGAAGGCGGUGUACCAGAACACGUUCGACGGUGAGGGAUGAAAGCUGGGGGAGCAAACCGGAUUAGAUACCCGGGUAGUCCCAGCUGUAAACUAUGCAAACUCAGUGAUGCAUUGGCUUGUGGCCAAUGCAGUGCUUCAGGGAAGCCGUUAAGUUUGCCGCCUGGGAAGUACGUACGCAAGUAUGAAGCUUAAAGGAAUUGGCGGGGGAGCACCACAAGGGGUGAAGCCUGCGGUUC